GCGUGUUCAACAUCUUUUCUUUUACUUUGUAACAGGUGUCUUUCGUUCCAUACUUUGUUUGUUUAUAUUUUGAGAUACUGGUGGAAAAAGAAAUUUGUACUUUUGUGUAAAGUAUUUUAUUGGAGAAUUUACAAAAGAAGAAAUUUUUGGAAAUGUUUAAUUCGUGAAAGGGGAUAGUUUAAAGCAGCGGUUCUCAAAUAAUGGCGAAACUCGUUCGUGAAGAUGAAUGUUCGACUUUUGACUUGUCUAACAUUUUUAGGCCACAUUGGCACAUUUCCUUGAAGACGAUAAAACUUCUGAAGUGAAGUCUAUUUGCAUAAAAUGUCCUAAUCAUCGUACUAGAAGUUAUUUUUAAGAAGCAAACAACGUACGAAGAGUUCACGAGAAGAAUAAUCACGCAAAGAAAAUCUGAAGAAAAUUUCUAAAAUUUGAAAAACAAACUCGUGAAUGCUACUGCAUUACGCAUGAUGUAAAAGGACGGGGUCAACUGUGUCUGAAACAUUUAUACAUCAUUGCGAUAUUACUUUUCUAGAAUAAGAUAAAUAACACAAUCCACUUGUUACGUUACGGGAAGGCAAACCAUAUAAAGACACGAAGGGGGACCUGAAACUGUUUUAAAAAAAUCGUGGUGAUGUAAUUAAUAUCUGGCUCUUUCACUCCGCCCUCGGUUUUAUUAUUAACUUCGUCCAACAAACACACUUUCGAGGCAUCGAAUGACUCGUACGUGAGCAAUGUGUUUCACUAG
RNAcentral lists this unclassified non-coding RNA (745 nucleotides) under Bombus terrestris (buff-tailed bumblebee). Its description in RNAcentral is "misc RNA ENSBTSG00005031999.1". The record is from RNAcentral. Lineage: Eukaryota; Metazoa; Arthropoda; Insecta; Hymenoptera; Apidae.